CAGUCGCCGCGGGAAUACAGAGGGUGCGAGCGUUAAUCGGAUUUACUGGGCGUAAAGCGUGCGUAGGCGGCUUUUUAAGUCGGAUGUGAAAUCCCUGAGCUUAACUUAGGAAUUGCAUUCGAUACUGGGAAGCUAGAGUAUGGGAGAGGAUGGUAGAAUUCCAGGUGUAGCGGUGAAAUGCGUAGAGAUCUGGAGGAACACCUGUGGCGAAAGCGGCUCACUGGACAUUUACUGACGCUGAUGCACGAAAGCUAGGGGAGCAAACAGGAUUAGAUACCCCAGUAGUCCCUGUCUCUUAUAU
Molecule: ribosomal RNA, 301 nt
Filed under: uncultured bacterium
Lineage: Bacteria
Description: partial 16S ribosomal RNA
Rfam family: Bacterial small subunit ribosomal RNA
Source: RNAcentral